GUUUACAUUAGGGUUAAUCCAGCCUCUAGUGGCUGUCUCAUUGACAGCCGCUAGAGGCGCUUCCACGCCUCCAUAGGAAAGCAUUGAGAAAUGCUUUCCUAUGGACUGAUUGAAUGUGCGCAUGGCUCUUCCCGCGAAUGCGCAUUCGGCGGGUGAUGUCAGAAGAGGGAGGAGAGUCCCCAGCGCCAAGGGAGCCCGGCGCUGAAGAAAGGUGAGUGUUUAACCCCUUAACCCCUCUUGAGCCUGGCGGGAGGGGGACCAUAAGGGUGGUGGUGACCUUUUUACACCAUAGUGCA
Non-coding RNA from Pelobates cultripes (western spadefoot toad), 296 nucleotides. Lineage: Eukaryota; Metazoa; Chordata; Amphibia; Anura; Pelobatidae. The record is from the annotation of a GenBank genome assembly.